CUACGGGAGGCUGCAGUGGGGAAUAUUGGACAAUGGGCGAAAGCCUGAUCCAGCCAUGCCGCGUGUGUGAAGAAGGCCUUCGGGUUGUAAAGCACUUUCAGUGGGGAAGAAAGCCUUGGGGCUAAUACCCUCGAGGAAGGACAUCACCCACAGAAGAAGCACCGGCUAACUCCGUGCCAGCAGCCGCGGUAAUACGGAGGGUGCGAGCGUUAAUCGGAAUUACUGGGCGUAAAGCGCGCGUAGGCGGUCUGAUAAGCCGGUUGUGAAAGCCCCGGGCUCAACCUGGGAACGGCAUCCGGAACUGUCAGGCUAGAGUGCAGGAGAGGAAGGUAGAAUUCCCGGUGUAGCGGUGAAAUGCGUAGAGAUCGGGAGGAAUACCAGUGGCGAAGGCGGCCUUCUGGACUGACACUGACGCUGAGGUGCGAAAGCGUGGGUAGCAAACAGGAUUAGAUACCCGUGUAGUC
Molecule: ribosomal RNA, 464 nt
Filed under: Vreelandella stevensii
Lineage: Bacteria; Pseudomonadati; Pseudomonadota; Gammaproteobacteria; Oceanospirillales; Halomonadaceae
Description: partial 16S ribosomal RNA
Rfam family: Bacterial small subunit ribosomal RNA
Source: RNAcentral